GCACACUUAGGAAAGUUGGUCUAAUCCGCCGCACUCAAGAUGCGGUGCCUUCGGGCGCGUCAGUUCGAAUCUGACAGUGUGCA
RNAcentral lists this transfer RNA (83 nucleotides) under Emiliania huxleyi virus 86. RNAcentral's name for it is "transfer RNA-Leu (CAA)". It matches the Rfam family "tRNA". From Rfam's summary of the family: Transfer RNA (tRNA) molecules are approximately 80 nucleotides in length. Their secondary structure includes four short double-helical elements and three loops (D, anti-codon, and T loops). Further hydrogen bonds mediate the characteristic L-shaped molecular structure. tRNAs have two regions of fundamental functional importance: the anti-codon, which is responsible for specific mRNA codon recognition, and the 3' end, to which the tRNAs corresponding amino acid is attached (by aminoacyl-tRNA synthetases). tRNAs cope with the degeneracy of the genetic code in two manners: having more than one tRNA (with a specific anti-codon) for a particular amino acid; and 'wobble' base-pairing, i.e. permitting non-standard base-pairing at the 3rd anti-codon position. Lineage: Varidnaviria; Bamfordvirae; Nucleocytoviricota; Megaviricetes; Algavirales; Phycodnaviridae. The record is from RNAcentral.